CAAGGGCGUAUAUUAAUGUUGUUGCAGUUAAAAAGCUCGUAGUUGAAUUUCUGUCAGGAGUGACCGGGCCUUUGGAUGAACUUCCAUUGUUUUUUGCUCUGUUUGUCAUCUCUAGACAUCCUGAAAUAUUUUUUAAAAAUAUUUCUCUUUUACUGUUAGCAAAAUAGAGUGUUCCAAGCAAAGCGUAGUUUUGAAUGCAUUAGAAUGGAAUAAUAAGAUAGGACUUUGGUGCUAUUUUGUUGGUUUGCACACCAAGGUAAUGAUUAAUAGGGACAGUUGGGGGUAUUCGUAUUUAAUUGUCAGAGGUGAAAUUCUUGGAUUUAUGAAAGACGAACUACUGCGAAAGCAUUUACCAAGGAUGUUUUCAUUAA
This 371-nucleotide ribosomal RNA is filed under the name uncultured eukaryote. Its description in RNAcentral is "partial 18S ribosomal RNA". It matches the Rfam family "Eukaryotic small subunit ribosomal RNA", at positions 592 to 976 of the family's 1831-position model. The record is from RNAcentral.